GAGGCCGGUGAUGGUAAUGGGAGCUGAUCGGUUUAUCGCCAGGCGGCCAGUAAAUGGCGGCGACGCGGAGGGAAUUAUGAACAACAACAUGGCAGGGAGGAUUCCUAAACACCUACUGUAGGCCACAAACAACGAAUGAAACUCUGUCGGUCCCGCGUUGAUAAAAUCUGAAGGAUUUUCUCAUGCACAUGGCCUAGUUCAUAUCGACCAUCUUGUUUUAACGGGGUCCGUGCGCAUGCGUUUAAUUGGUGGGCGGCACCUCGAACGUCCACGUGACCAGGAGAGGCAAUGAUUUGAUUCUCAGUCUGCAGACAGGAGCUGGAGAACUGAAGACAGGCAAAGAGAGAUGGAUUGAACAGGAGGAUUUAUGAUUAGAAAUCUCAAACCAAGCACCACAGGAAGGCACUUGACUCAUCAGGAUCUGAAUAUCACCAGCCUUUGAAUAUGGAAGGAGAAUAUUUGUCUGUUCUGCAUUCAAGAAAGGGUUUCAAAUACUAUUGUGACUUCAAAAACACUGAGCCACAGUGAUAACAGCUGUAUCCACUAACACAACCUGAAAAAGAAACCACUAUUCUGAGGAGAAACCACACGUGUUGCAAGAUUGUCCAAUCUGGAGUCACACAAGGACACCAGCACCAUGGAGAAACAAUGGAGAUGCGAGGACUGUGGAAUUGGCUUCAGUUACCCAGCCCAGCUGGAAUUAUGGAGUCAUACUGGAGAGAGGCUCUGGAAAUGUGAGGAAUUUGGCAAGGGAUUUGAUUCUCAUUACCUGCCAGAAACCCAUCAAUGCAGUCACACUGGUGAGAAGCCAUUCUUCUGUUCCGUGUGCAGAAAGGGAUUUGCACAGUCAACUGUCCUGGCAUUGCAUCAGUGAAUUCACACUGACCAGAGGCCCUUCUGCUGCACUGACUAUGGAAAGAGGUUCAGGCAGUCAUACUACCUCACUGUACACCAGUGAGUUCACACUGGGAAGAGGCCAUUCACUUGCUCUAAGUGUGGGAUUUAAUGUAUCCUCCCACUUGCUGAAGAAUGAGCAAGUUCUUACUGAGGACAGGCUGUUCACUUGCUCCGAGUGUGGGAAGGGAUGUAUUCAGUUAGCCAAACUGGCAUCACAUCAACGAAUUCACACAAAGGAGAAGUUGCACUCGCUGUCGAAAGAAAUUCAAACUUUCGAGCAACUUCAAAGCACACCAGUAGGUUCACACUCGGGAGAGGCUAUUCACUCACACCGUAUGAGAGACAGGGUUCCCUUGAUUACCCAGAAUGUUGAGACACCAGCAAAUGCACAAGUGACUGCAAACUCUGGAUUGUACUGUUGACCAUAUCCAGGAUUGGUAGUCUGACAGUAUUCAGUGUUUCCGCUGAUAUUAACAACACACUAUAAAACUUCAACAAGAACCUGAUUACAAUGAAGUUAUAAAUGUGAUCACCUUUGGUGCAAAAUCUACAAUUUGGUGUCUGAUUCUCUCUGCAUCCUGGGAAGGCCUUCACAAGAGUGCUUUUGAAAGACCUCAUCUCCUUGAAGACUGACUUUAUCCUGAAGCAGAGUGUGAUUUCCAUGCUGGCAGAGUGACAGGGGACACACUAUUCUCCUUACCCCAGGUACAAAACAAGUGCUCAGAACAGGAUUUACCUCCUCACCUUCAUGUUGUAGAACUGACUAAACCCAUUUGAAACCAAAAGUGGGACAGAUUUUGACAGGAUUUUGGGCGAAAUUUGCUGUCGGCCAAAGCUCUUCAGGCUGAUCUGCUCCUUUAAUAAACACACUCCAUAAUCUCACAGCACCACAUCUGACAUAUUCAGGGUGAAGAAUGGAGUGACACAGACACCAACACCAAAAUCAACAAACUACCAUGAUGCCUGGUAACCAUAAACAAAAAUAACUUCUCUCAGGGAGAUGUGACAAUGAAUGAUGAGAUGAGGAAUCAGAACAGUGCAAUUGAAGUCGAGAAAGGCAUUGUAUUAAAUUGCUGCUUUCCAAAUCUUGUCCCAAUGGGACACAUUCUAAUCUCUCAAAAUCUGCAUCACCUGAGAGUUAAGUUUUGGGAGUUCUGAGAAUUGCUCAUCAGUGUGGCAAAGGGAGAUUGGCACAGAGUUAGUCACAUAUUAUUAAUGUAUUUGGGUUCUGAUUAUUAAUGCAAUAAUAUCUAGAUUAUUCAUUCUAUACACUCGGGAUUAUUGAUACAACUGCUGAAUUACCUUUAUGUAAUAAGAUCCUGUUUAUUAAUGUAA
Rhincodon typus (whale shark) is the source of this 2232-nucleotide long non-coding RNA. RefSeq lists it as uncharacterized. The transcript is spliced from 3 exons. NCBI's taxonomy places the organism in Eukaryota, Metazoa, Chordata, Chondrichthyes, Orectolobiformes, Rhincodontidae. The record is from RefSeq and is a predicted model, not a curated record.